This 1942-nucleotide ribosomal RNA is filed under the name human gut metagenome. RNAcentral's name for it is "bacterial LSU rRNA". It matches the Rfam family "Bacterial large subunit ribosomal RNA", at positions 3 to 1983 of the family's 2925-position model. The record is from RNAcentral.
UUAAGCUAUAAAGAGCAUAGGGUGGAUGCCUAGGCACUGAGAGCCGAUGAAAGACGUGAUAAGCUGCGAUAAGCUGCGGUAAGGAGCAAAUAUCCAUUGACCCGCAGAUUUCUGAAUGGGGAAACCUACGCAAGAAGACCUUGCGUACUCAUACAUGAAUACAUAGUGUAUGAGAGGGAACCCGGGGAACUGAAACAUCUAAGUACCCGGAGGAAGAGAAAGAAACAUCGAUUUCCUGAGUAGCGGCGAGCGAAAGGGAAAGAGCCCAAACCAGAGGAUUUAUCCACUGGGGUUAGGACUGCAUAAUUGAUCUGCAAUUGAUAGGAGAACGGUCUGGGAAGUCCGGCGAGAAAGCGUGAAAGCCGCGUAUCCGAAAUCGAAAGCAGCAAGGCAGUAUCCAGAGUACCACGAGACACGAGAAACCUUGUGGGAAUGAGCGGAGACCACUCCGUAAGGCUAAAUACUACUCAGUGACCGAUAGCGCAUAGUACUGUGAAGGAAAGGUGAAAAGGACCCCGGGAGGGGAGUGAAAGAGAACCUGAAACCCUGUGUUUACAAGCUGUCGAAGCACGCAAGUGCGACGGCGUACUUUUUGUAGAACGGUCCGGCGAGUUAUGAUGAGUGGUAAGGUUAAGGACUUAAGGUCCGGAGCCGAAGCGAAAGCGAGUGUUAAAAGCACGUAGAAUCGCUUAUCAUAGACCCGAAACCGGGUGAUCUAUCCAUGUCCAGGUUGAAGCUGCCGUAAGAGGUAGUGGAGGACCGAACACACAUCCGUUGAAAAGGGUGGUGAUGAGGUGUGGAUAGGGGAGAAAUUCCAAUCGAACCCGGAGAUAGCUGGUUCUCCUCGAAAUAGCUUUAGGGCUAGCCUCGAUUUAGUCUUAUGGAGGUAGAGCACUGAAUUUCCGCGGGGGCGUCAAAGCUUACCAAAGAAUAUCAAACUCCGAAUGCCAUGUAGAUGAUGAUCGGGAGUCAGACUGCACGAGAUAAGUUGGGCAGUCAAAAGGGAAAGAGCCCAGACCACCGGCUAAGGUCCCAAAGUGCGUGUUAAGUGGAAAAGGAUGUGGGAAUUCGAAGACAACUAGGAUGUUGGCUCAGAAGCAGCCAUACAUUCAAAGAGUGCGUAACAGCUCACUAGUCGAGAGUUCCUGCGCCGAAAAUGUCCGGGGCUGAAACACGACACCGAAGCCGUGGACUCGCAAUGCGAGUGGUAGAGGAGCAUUCUUAAAACCGACGAAGCUGUACCGUAAGGAGCAGUGGAGGGAUAAGAAGAGAGAAUGCCGGAAUGAGUAGCGAGAGAAAGGUGGGAAUCCUUUCGGCCGAAUAUCUAAGGUUUCCAGAGUAAAGCUGAUCUGCUCUGGGUAAGUCGGGGCCUAAGCACAGGUCGCAAGACGUAAGCGAUGGAUAACAGGUUUAGAUUCCUGUACCACGCAUUAUCAGAACUGUAGGGACGCAUGUGGAAAGCACGAGCCGGGAAUGGAAAGACCGGUACAAGCGAGGUAGGUGUACAAUAGGCAAAUCCGUUGUAUAAUCCGAAGACGUGAUGUGGAGCGAAAUAAAGUAGUGAAGCGUGUGAGCCAUGUGCCGAGAAAAGCUGCUAUUGUGUAAUGCGUGCCCGUACCGUAAACCGACACAGGUGGAUGAGGAGAGAAUCCUAAGGCCGACGGAAGAAGCAUUGUUAAGGAAUUCGGCAAAAUGACCCCGUAACUUCGGGAGAAGGGGUGCCUGCGAGAGCAGGCCGCAGAGAAUAGGCUCAAGCAACUGUUUAGCAAAAACACAGGUCUAUGCGAAACCGAAAGGUGAAGUAUAUGGGCUGACGCCUGCCCGGUGCUGGAAGGUUAAGAGGAGAGGUUAGCGCAAGCGAAGCUUUGAAUUUAAGCCCCAGUAAACGGCGGCCGUAACUAUAACGGUCCUAAGGUAGCGAAAUUCCUUGUCGGGUAAGUUC